RNAcentral lists this ribosomal RNA (413 nucleotides) under uncultured bacterium. RNAcentral describes it as "bacterial SSU rRNA". It matches the Rfam family "Bacterial small subunit ribosomal RNA", at positions 40 to 499 of the family's 1533-position model. The record is from RNAcentral.
CGGCACGCCUAACACAUGCAAGUCGAACGCAGUAGCAAUACUGAGUGGCAAACGGGUGAGUAUAAUGUGGGAAUCUGCCUUUUGGUUUGGAAUAACACGGGGAAACUUGUGCUAAUACCGGAUAAGCCCUUACGGGGAAAGUUUUAACGCCGAAAGAUGAGCCUGCACUUGAUUAGCUAGUUGGUAAGGUAAAAGCUUACCAAGGCAACGAUCAAUAGCUGUUCUUAGAGGAAGACCAGCCACAUUGGGACUGAGACACGGCCCAGACUCCUACGGGAGGCAGCAGUGGGGAAUCUUGCACAAUGGGGGAAACCCUGAUGCAGCGAUGCCGCGUGAGUGAAGAAGGCCCUUGGGUUGUAAAACUCUUUCGUCGGGGAAGAAAAUGACUGUACCCGAAUAAGAAGGUCCGGCUA